CUGGCUCAGGAUGAACGCUAGCGACAGGCCUAACACAUGCAAGUCGAGGGCAGCACAAGGAGCAAUCUGAGGUGGCGACCGGCGCACGGGUGAGUAACACGUAUGCAACCUGCCUGUAAGCGGGGAAUAACCCGUUGAAAGACGGACUAAUACCGCAUAAUACUAAAUUACUGCAUGGUAAUUUAUUUAAACAUUUAUGGCUUACAGAUGGGCAUGCGCAUGAUUAGCUAGUUGGAGAGGUAACGGCUCCCCAAGGCAACGAUCAUUAGGGGUUCUGAGAGGAAGGUCCCCCCACACUGGUACUGAGACACGGACCAGACUCCUACGGGAGGCAGCAGUGAGGAAUAUUGGUCAAUGGACGAGAGUCUGAACCAGCCAAGUCGCGUGCAGGAAGAAUGUCCUAUGGAUUGUAAACUGCUUUUGCAGGGGAAUAAAGGUGCAUCACGUGUGAUGUUUUGUAUGUACUCUGCGAAUAAGGAUCGGCUAACUCCGUGCCAGCCGCCGC
Molecule: ribosomal RNA, 505 nt
Filed under: uncultured bacterium
Lineage: Bacteria
Description: bacterial SSU rRNA
Rfam family: Bacterial small subunit ribosomal RNA
Source: RNAcentral